RNAcentral lists this ribosomal RNA (465 nucleotides) under uncultured bacterium. Its description in RNAcentral is "partial 16S ribosomal RNA". It matches the Rfam family "Bacterial small subunit ribosomal RNA", at positions 28 to 507 of the family's 1533-position model. The record is from RNAcentral.
GACGAACGCUGGCGGCGUGCUUAACACAUGCAAGUCGAACGGAAAGGCCCUGCUUGCGGGGUGCUCGCGUGGCGAACGGGUGUGUGUAACGUGUGUGUUCUGCGCUGCACUUCGGGGGAUGCCUGGGGAACAGGGGGUAUUAUCGCGUAGGAGACCUCCUGCGGGUGGGGGGUGGAUAGAUUUUUCGGUGUAGGAUGAGCGCGCGGGCGGUCUGCUUGUUGGUGGGGUAAUGGGCUACCAAGGAGGGGUCGGGUAGCCGGCCGGGGAGGGUGGACGGCCACCGUGGGACUGAGAUACGGCCCAGACUCCUACGGGGGGCAGCAGUGGGGAAUAUUGCACAAUGGGCGCGAGCCUGAUGCAGCGACGCCGCGGGGGGGAUGACGGCCUUCGGGUUGUAAACUCCUUUCGCUAGGGACGAAGCUUUUUGUGACGGUACCUAGAGAAGAAGCACCGGCUAACUACGUG